Molecule: non-coding RNA, 511 nt
Filed under: Rattus norvegicus (Norway rat)
Lineage: Eukaryota; Metazoa; Chordata; Mammalia; Rodentia; Muridae
Description: Eukaryotic small subunit ribosomal RNA
Rfam family: Eukaryotic small subunit ribosomal RNA
Source: Rfam by way of RNAcentral
UGGGAGUAUGGUUGCAAAGCUGAAACUUAAAGGAAUUGACGGAAGGGAACCACCAGGAGUGGAGCCUGCGGCUUAAUUUGACUCAACACGGGAAACCUCAUCCGGCCUGGACACGGACAGGAUUGACAGAUCUUUCUCGAUUCCGUGGGUGGUGGUGCAUGGCCGUUCUUAGUUGGUGGAGCGAUUUGUCUGGUUAAUUCCGAUAACGAACGAGACUCUGGCAUGCUAACUAGUUAUGCAACCCCCAUCCCCCAACUUCUUAGAGGGACAAGUGGCAUCCAGCCACCCGAGAUUGAGCAAUAACAGGUUUGUGACGCCCUUAGGUGUCUGGGGCUGCAGGCGCACUACACUGACUGGCUCAGCGUGUGCCUUCCCUACGCCGGCGCGGGUAACCCAUUGAACCUCAUUCGUGAUGGGGAUCUGAUGGGGAUCGGGGAUUGCAAUUAUUCCCCAAUAAUUCCCCAGUAAGUGCGGGUCGUAAGCUUGCAUUGAUUAAGUCCCUGCCCUUUCG